This is a long non-coding RNA of Microtus oregoni (creeping vole), 635 nucleotides long. RefSeq lists it as uncharacterized. The transcript is spliced from 4 exons. Lineage: Eukaryota; Metazoa; Chordata; Mammalia; Rodentia; Cricetidae. The record is from RefSeq and is a predicted model, not a curated record.
UCUCCCUCCUCCCCCUCCCCGCGAUGUCAUUACUCACUGGGUGCAGGGGGAGGGGCAAGGGGAUCCCGGGGCUCUUUCCUCCUCCUUUCAGCUGUAGGUCCUCCCCGAGGGCCCCAGGGAGGGAAAGAUGCGGGAAACAGGGGCGAGUGGGCCGUACCCCCAGAGUACUCAGCUGGCCAGUCAUCUGCCAAAGACCCUACCAUCAUAACACAUCUCAAUCUUGCGAAAGCGCCUCUUAGUUUAGAGGAAGAAAGGAAGACUCCGAGAAGUGACCUUGCUCAAGGUGACUGAGCUGCUAACUGGUGGAGCAGAGAUUCAAACUCGGGCUGGCUGUAUGAAGGACAGGACCAACUGGUGAUUUAGCAGCCCUGCAAGCAGCAACUCAAUCCUGUUAAAGAAUCAUGUUUUUCAGCUGUGUGGACGUGAUGAGAAGGGAGAGGUGCCAUUAGUGUCAUCCUAGAUCACACCUUUACCCCAGAAGAUGUAGCCAGGAAUUCCUCAGUGACCGAGAGAUCACCUUUCCUGGGGAGCUGCAGAGAUUUUACCAAACAAUGCUCUGAAAUGAUGUUGAAAGAAGCUGUGGAUGAACAGAUUUGUAAGACAUACUGUAACACAAUAAAAAAGGAAUCUUGUUU